GCGCCAGUGGCGGAAUCAGGCAGACGCGCAGGACUUAGGAUCCUGUGUCCGAGAGGACGUGUGGGUUCGAUUCCCACCUGGCGCA
RNAcentral lists this transfer RNA (85 nucleotides) under Acidimicrobiales bacterium. Its description in RNAcentral is "tRNA-Leu". It matches the Rfam family "tRNA". From Rfam's summary of the family: Transfer RNA (tRNA) molecules are approximately 80 nucleotides in length. Their secondary structure includes four short double-helical elements and three loops (D, anti-codon, and T loops). The record is from RNAcentral. Lineage: Bacteria; Bacillati; Actinomycetota; Acidimicrobiia; Acidimicrobiales.